Molecule: long non-coding RNA, 1717 nt
Filed under: Lathyrus oleraceus (garden pea)
Lineage: Eukaryota; Viridiplantae; Streptophyta; Magnoliopsida; Fabales; Fabaceae
Description: Pisum sativum (pea) long non-coding RNA (PSAT_LNC021358)
Source: RNAcentral
UAACUAACUAUGGUGUAAACAAACGUACAUUCUGUAAUUUACGAUUCUUCUUCACACGAGUACUUGGUAAAUUUACAGAUUUUUGUACACACUUUGGCACACACUUUUCUAACACUAAGACCCUAUAUUUAUACUGGAUUGAGAUAACCGUUUCUGAUGGUCCUUCAAUCACGUCGAGACACAUGACGCCUUUCAUGGAUGUAACUACCCAUUAUGUUCCACGUGUACUCUCAACGGUUUCAGAUAAGGGCGAAGUUCCCUCCCUUAUUUGAAUUUUGAAUCUUUGAUCGAAAACUGUUUUCAACCGUUUUUAAGAUAUAUUUCUGGAGUCUCAACUGCAUGCUGAUCCUUAUUACCCUUAUCCAGUCGAAUCACCCCCAGUUGGUUGAAUAUCACCUCCUGGUCAAAAAACAGCUAUACAUAUGAUUUCCUUUCUUGAUAAUUCUUAAUGGACGUCGAAAAUAUGAGCUAACAGGGUGCAAGUGCGGUUGCAGACCGCAAUUUAAAACCAUGGAUAAGUACAUAACAUAGACUCCUUAUUUAUUUUGUCGAACUCCUCCUAGGUGCAUGUUGACACCUGGGGGCAUAUAAGCUUUCGCAAGGAGAAUGCUUCCAAUAAGGUGAGAAAUUAGAAACUUAAAAACAUAAGAUAUUUGCAUGUGUUCAUUUAUAUAUGAACGUGAAUAUAAAUUGUAAUUAUAAUUAUGCAUGCACAUUUCACUUAACUUUUUUAGUGGAAAAAGUAAACACCUUAGUAUGCUCUGCCAUUUUGUUGUGAAAAGUUGCUGGAGCAUUCCAUUUUGUUGUGGAAAGUGGUGAUAGUAGUUGGCUUGCUCAUGCUCUUUUUGAGUAUACAUUUGGUAUGAAGUUAUCCUUUCACAAUCAAACGGGACGAUCAUGUCUUUAUGUAAAUCAAUCAACGGGUAAUUCAUACUUUUGGCUUGAAAAAUUGUGACUAAUGCCUUUUUCUUAUUAUUUUUAAACCUUAUUAUACAUCUUUCUAAGUUAACAAUUAUUUAGAAUAUUAAAUUCUUUCUAUAUUAUUUUUAUCUGGUUGUGUUCGAAAGUGGUCACAAACGAUUUUCUUAUUACUAUAGGACUGUUGUAGAAUCAACUGAGUCCUUUUCUUUUUAAAUUGGUCUUCAUAUCAAAUAGAAAAUGUCAAUGUCUAUGUUCUUUGUUUUGAUUAUAUAGUUUCUUCCUAUUAAAUGAUAAGCUUAAGAUAUGAAGAUAAAUUUGAAAGCAUAUAAUAAUUUAUUUUAUAAGAGUAGAAAAGAGUAUAUAUGAUGCAAGUUUUGGAGGAAGUAUAUUAAUUCUUAGGCAGAAGUGAAAUUGGAGGUGAUUCCAAAGACUUUAUGGUUUAAAAGUAUAUUGGAUCCAUCAUACAAGUUAAUUGGGAAAUAAAGAGAAAUAUAAAUUAGGUUUAGAUGGGAUGAAUGAAAUCAAUGAAUGUUUUUUAUGUUAUUUUCUUUUGUUAUAGAAGUGCAGGUAUCCAUUUUCUAUAAGACAUUGUGUUGUUUCGAUGGUUUGGUCUAUGUAGUCAAUUUCAGUCUCCCAUUAUCGAUUAAAUGACUUUUUGCUAUUUACAUAUGUUGGUAAAAAUGCAAUUGCUAUAUCAUUAUACCUUUGCACUAAUGAUUGCAGACAGUAGGGUUAAACCUUCAAACAAACUCGAUCAAAGAUAAAUAUCUUCUCUUUUUGUCGGCGUAUAUCUUCA